UCCCUCUUAGCUCAGUGGUAGAGCGUGUCACUCGUAUGUUUCCGAUGACAAGGUCAGUCGUUCAAUCCGGCUAGCGGGAA
Desarmillaria tabescens is the source of this 80-nucleotide non-coding RNA. The record is from the annotation of a RefSeq genome assembly. Lineage: Eukaryota; Fungi; Basidiomycota; Agaricomycetes; Agaricales; Physalacriaceae.